GGCUCCAUAAUGUAGUGGUUAGCACAUCUGCUUUACAUGCAGCAGAUCCUGGGUUCGCGCCCAGGUGGAGCCA
This 73-nucleotide transfer RNA is filed under the name Pteropus alecto (black flying fox). It matches the Rfam family "tRNA". Rfam says of the family: Transfer RNA (tRNA) molecules are approximately 80 nucleotides in length. Their secondary structure includes four short double-helical elements and three loops (D, anti-codon, and T loops). Further hydrogen bonds mediate the characteristic L-shaped molecular structure. tRNAs have two regions of fundamental functional importance: the anti-codon, which is responsible for specific mRNA codon recognition, and the 3' end, to which the tRNAs corresponding amino acid is attached (by aminoacyl-tRNA synthetases). tRNAs cope with the degeneracy of the genetic code in two manners: having more than one tRNA (with a specific anti-codon) for a particular amino acid; and 'wobble' base-pairing, i.e. permitting non-standard base-pairing at the 3rd anti-codon position. The record is from Rfam by way of RNAcentral. Lineage: Eukaryota; Metazoa; Chordata; Mammalia; Chiroptera; Pteropodidae.